GCGCAUGCGCAAACUGCGAUUCUGCGUGGAAGAGAGCGGCCUUCCUGAGCGCGUUCCUCGGGGCGUGAGGUGGACCUUGACAUCAAAGGAGCAAGAGGUAACAGGAGGGGCAGUGCAGCAAAGGACAAAGAAGCAGACACACCUCACCUAGACUGACAUGUCAGCUCUACAUCCUAUGAACCAGAUGACCUCAAGCAGUGACAUCCUCUCCUAUGGCAAUUAUGAAGAUAGAAGGAAAUGUUUAUGACACACCUAGCAUAGUGGUAUGUACCAUGACUAGGAUGCUGGUACUAGGUCAUCCCAAUUUUAUGGAUGUGGACACGGCUCAGUGGAAGUCAUGAAAAAAUUAUGAGGAACUGAGGCUUGUUGAAACUUCCCUUGGUUCAGGAUUAUAUUGAAGGUCAAAGAGUGAGCCUAGAAGAAACAAGAAAACUCUGAUAACUGGGUGCGCACAGGGGGAGCCAAGCUCUCCUUGCACCUGUCAGCGGGAGCCACCUUUCUGUCCAGGAGCUCAGGAAGACGCUGGUGCUGGUCACCCACAAUAUUCUCCCCUGCCUCUGCCGCCUCAGCACAUAAACAGGUUGUGAAACAACCUGGGCAGUGACUCAGCCUGGGGCCUGUUCUGCUGGUCAGUGCAGGCAGGCUGGGCUGUUUGGUUGAGCCUUGAAAGGACAUCGUGUCUAACAAACAUGUUGCUUGUCAAAGCCCUGACGGGGGUGCCAAGCAGACACUGUGAACUCUGGUCCCUGAGGCGUCACAGAUGACUGAACUGGGGUGCCUGAGUUACAUACAACAUGUCUUGGUUGUUAUUCUGGUCUAACAGCCACCCGGGGCCAAUGUCAUGAAGAGGGGAAUGUGUUAGAGGGUGAAGAGUCCCUAUUUCUCAAGGGGCAGCUUGAUGGAGUGACCGUGGGCCUGAGAUUUUGGUGUCCACAUUAUGAAGAUCUGAGUUCAGAUUCUGACUCUGCUGCUUAUUAUCCUUAUGACCUUGGGCAGGUGGCUUACUCUUGCUAGGGUUCAAUGUCCUUAUUCUCUAGAAUGCCCUUCUCACAAAGUUCCUGCUGUGGUGCAGCGGAAAAGAAUCUGAUUAGUAUCCAUGAGGAUGUAGGUUU
Long non-coding RNA from Phacochoerus africanus (Common warthog), 1112 nucleotides. RefSeq lists it as uncharacterized. The record is from RefSeq and is a predicted model, not a curated record. The transcript has 3 exons. Lineage: Eukaryota; Metazoa; Chordata; Mammalia; Artiodactyla; Suidae.